CACUUGCGCGUCUGUCUCUCUCUCGCAAUCUGUAGUUCCCUGAGGAGCCAUUUUCUCUCUCUUCUUCGUCUUCUUUCUCCACUCUCUCUCUCCUCUCGGAACUUUUUCUGCAGAUAUAUAUAUAAUAGUUCAUUUUCAAAGUUUUAAUUAUUUCUAUCGAUAUAUCUAUAUAUUCAUAGACAUUAGUAAAUCGCCAUGGCUUCGGAGAAUUACACCGACAAGAACACGAUUUUUCGGAAGCUCAAAGCCAAGUCCGAGAAUAAGAUGUGUUUUGAUUGCAACGCGAAGAACCCGACGUGGGCGUCCGUGACGUAUGGGAUCUUUCUCUGUAUUGAUUGUUCGGCGGUUCACCGGAGCCUCGGUGUUCACAUUAGCUUCGUUAGGUCGACCAAUCUAGAUUCUUGGUCUCCAGAGCAGUUGAAAAUGAUGUGCUUUGGUGGAAAUAACCGUGCUCAAGUUUUCUUUAAACAGCAUGGAUGGACUGAUGGGGGCAAGAUUGAGGCAAAGUAUACUUCUAGAGCUGCUGACUUGUAUAGACAAUUGCUUGCUAAAGAAGUUGCUAAAAGCGCUGCAGACGCUGGUUUGCCAUCAUCACCGGUUGCUUCUCAGUCGGUACAUGCUACUAAUGGUUUUCCUGAUAUUAAGACUGCUGAAGCUCCAAAUCAGAGUUCUUUUCUAAAAAAUGAAACUCCAGAGGUUUCUUCUUCACCCAAAGCUUCCCAGUCUGUUACUGCUACAACUGUUAAGAAGCCUCUAGUUGCUAAAAAACUGGAAAGACUGGGGGUCUAGGAGCUCGAAAACUUACUACAAAGCCAAACGAAAGUCUUUAUGACCAGAAACCUGAAGAAGUACCUGUUCAAGUUCCAUCAUCUGACUCCACAAGUAGCACGCCCAAAUCAUUUGCAUCUCGCUUUGAGUAUACUGAUAAUGUGCAACCAGCAGAAAUUAGUUCUGGUGGUGCCCGUGUUCUUAGCCAUGUAUCACCUCCAAAAUCUUCUAAUUUCUUUGCUGACUAUGGCAUGGAUAGUGGUUUCUCAAAGAAGACCAGCUCAACUUUGCCCAAAGUUCAAGUUGAAGAAACUGAUGAAGCAAGGAAGAAGUUUUCCAAUGCUAAAUCUAUCUCUUCUGCUCAGUUUUAUGGUGAUCAGAACAAAGUCAAUGACAUGGAAUCUUCAGUUUCUCUGCAGAAGUUCUCGGGUUCAAAUGCAAUCUCCAGUGCUGAUCUCUUUGGUCACCGUGGCAAUAAUUCAUCUGUUGAUGUCACAGCUAGUGAUCUGAUUGACCGGCUGUCUUUUCAGGCACAGCAAGAUUUCUCUUCCCUCAAGAUUAUUGCAGGAGAAACUGGGAAGAAGCUCAGCUCCCUUGCCUCCUCCUUGGUGUCGGAUCUUCAGGACAGAAUCCUCUGAGAGAGCUGCAUUUUGGAUGUACAAUCUAGAGGAUCUUGUUACAGAAUUGCAAAAGAAAUAUGUAGAUGUAAAAAGUUAAAUCUUUAAAAUUUUUACGGAAGACAAAUAAGAUUUUAAAAUUCCUAGGAUUAUGAGAUGACACCAUUAUUUUGUAGCUGCGGAAUGUAACCAUCAUGGUGUGUAUGUGGCCUUCUCUGGCUAUUUCAUAGAUUUUAUCCUUUGGACUGGCCUUGUGUAUUUUGUUCUGAAUGAUGAUGCAACACAAGUUUUUCCUUUGGGCUGGCCUUUAAUUUCUUUUUUUUUUUUUCCCUCAAUGAUGUAACCCAAAUGGGAUUUAAACCAUUUACCAAUUUAAGUUCUAUCGGCCCUUUUAC
Molecule: non-coding RNA, 1780 nt
Organism: Coffea arabica (coffee)
Lineage: Eukaryota; Viridiplantae; Streptophyta; Magnoliopsida; Gentianales; Rubiaceae
Source: RefSeq, a predicted model, not a curated record